Molecule: ribosomal RNA, 424 nt
Filed under: uncultured bacterium
Lineage: Bacteria
Description: partial 16S ribosomal RNA
Rfam family: Bacterial small subunit ribosomal RNA
Source: RNAcentral
AAUUUUGGACAAUGGGGGAAACCCUGAUCCAGCCAUCCCGCGUGUAUGAUGAAGGCCUUCGGGUUGUAAAGUACUUUUGGCAGAGAAGAAAAGGUAUCCCCUAAUACGGGAUACUGCUGACGGUAUCUGCAGAAUAAGCACCGGCUAACUACGUGCCAGCAGCCGCGGUAAUACGUAGGGUGCAAGCGUUAAACGGAAUUACUGGGCGGUAAGCGUGUGUAGGGCGUUCGGAAAGAAAGGUGUGAAAUCCCAAGGCCUAAACCUGGAAAUGGAUUUUUAAAUGGCGAGGUAGAGGAAGGCAGAGGGGGGUAGAAAUCCACGUGUAGCCGGGAAAUGGGUAAAUAAGUUGGGGGAUAACGAAUGCGAAGGCAGCCCCCCGGGAAAAAAAUGACGCUCAAAAACGAAAGGCGGGGGAGCAAACAGG